GGCGUAAAGGGCUCGCGGACAGUAUGGUGAGCUUGCUGUGAAAGCCCUGAUGUUAGCGGCGGACGGGUGAGUAACACGUGGGUAACCUGCCUGUAAGACUGGGAUGUGGAACUCCGGGAAACCGGGGCUAAUACCGGAUGGUGUGUUUGAACCGCAUGGUUCAAACAUAAAAGGUGGCUUGCGGCUACCACUUACAGAUGGACCCGCGGCGCAUUAGCUAGUUUAGGUGAGGUAACGGCUCACCAAGGCAACGAUGCGUAGCCGACCUGAGAGGGUGAUCGGCCCUUAACACUGGGACUGAGACACGGCCCAGACUCCUACGGGAGUGCAGCAGUAGGGCUGAAAUCUUCCGCAAUGGACGAAAGUCUGACGGAGCAACGCCGCGUGAGUGAUGAAGGUUUUCGGAUCGUAAAGCUCUGUUGUUAGGGAAGAACAUCCUCUGAGUACCGUUCGAAUAGGGCGGUACCUUGACGGUACCUAACCAGAAAGCCACGGCUAACUACGUGCCAGCAGCCGCGGUAAUACGUAGGUUUAAGGCAAGCGUUGUCCGGAAUUAUUGGGCGUAAAGGGCUCGCAGGCGGUUUCUUAAGUCUGAUGUGAAAGCCCCCGGCUCAACCGGGGAGGGUCAUUGGAAACUGGGGAACUUGAGUGCAGAAGAGGAGAGUGGAAUUCCACGUGUAGCGGUGAAAUGCGUAGAGAUGUGGAGGAACACCAGUGGCGAAGGCGACUCUACUGGUCUGUAACUGACGCUGAGGAGCGAAAGCGUGGGGAGCGAACAGGAUUAGAUACCCUGGUAGUCCACGCCGUAAACGAUGAGUGCUAAGUGUUAGGGGGUUUCCGCCCCUUAGUGCUGCAGCUAACGCAUUAAGCACUCCGCCUGGGGAGUACGGUCGCAAGACUGAAACUCAAAGGAAUUGACGGGGGCCCG
RNAcentral lists this ribosomal RNA (928 nucleotides) under Bacillus subtilis. RNAcentral's name for it is "bacterial SSU rRNA". It matches the Rfam family "Bacterial small subunit ribosomal RNA", at positions 41 to 923 of the family's 1533-position model. The record is from RNAcentral. Lineage: Bacteria; Bacillati; Bacillota; Bacilli; Caryophanales; Bacillaceae.